RNAcentral lists this ribosomal RNA (497 nucleotides) under uncultured bacterium. RNAcentral's name for it is "partial 16S ribosomal RNA". It matches the Rfam family "Bacterial small subunit ribosomal RNA", at positions 28 to 507 of the family's 1533-position model. The record is from RNAcentral.
GAUGAACGCUGGCGGCGUGCCUAAUACAUGCAAGUCGAGCGAACAGACGAGGAGCUUGCUCCUCUGACGUUAGCGGCGGACGGGUGAGUAACACGUGGAUAACCUACCUAUAAGACUGGGAUAACUUCGGGAAACCGGAGCUAAUACCGGAUAAUAUAUUGAACCGCAUGGUUCAAUAGUGAAAGACGGUUUUGCUGUCACUUAUAGAUGGAUCCGCGCCGCAUUAGCUAGUUGGUAAGGUAACGGCUUACCAAGGCAACGAUGCGUAGCCGACCUGAGAGGGUGAUCGGCCACACUGGAACUCAGAAACGGUCCAGACUCCUACGGGAGGCACCAGUAGGGAAUCUUCAGCAAUAGGCGAAAGCCUGACGGAGAAACGCCGCGUGAGUGAUGAAGGUCUUCGGAUCGUAAAACUCUGUUAUUAGGGAAGAACAAAUGUGUAAGUAACUAUGCACGUCUUGACGGUACCUAAUCAGAAAGCCACGGCUAACUACGUG